GUCAUAUGCUUGUCUCAAAGAUUAAGCCAUGCAUGUCUCAGUACACGCCAAAUUAAGGUGAAACCGCGAAAGGCUCAUUAAAUCAGUUAUGGUUCCUUAGAUCGUACCCACAAUUACUUGGAUAACUGUGGUAAUUCUAGAGCUAAUACAUGCUAACAGAGUUCCGACCGGAGACGGAAGGAAUGCUUUUAUUAGAUCAAAACCAAUCGGUGGCGGCGGGUUCUCCCGCUCGUUAUCGUACAACUUGGUGACUCUGAAUAACUUUACGCUGAUCGCACGGUCAUCGCGCCGGCGACGCAUCUUUCAAAUGUCUGCCUUAUCAACUGUCGAUGGUAGGUUCUGCGCCUACCAUGGUUGUAACGGGUAACGGGGAAUCAGGGUUCGAUUCCGGAGAGGGAGCCUGAGAAACGGCUACCACAUCCAAGGAAGGCAGCAGGCGCGCAAAUUACCCACUCCCGGCACGGGGAGGUAGUGACGAAAAAUAACGAUACGGGACUCAUCCGAGGCCCCGUAAUCGGAAUGAGUACACUCUAAACCCUUUAACGAGGAUCAAUUGGAGGGCAAGUCUGGUGCCAGCAGCCGCGGUAAUUCCAGCUCCAAUAGCGUAUAUUAAAGUUGUUGCGGUUAAAAAGCUCGUAGUCGAAUUUGUGUCUCGCGCCGCCGGUUCAUCGUCCGCGGUGUUAACUGGCGAGUCGCGAGACGUCCUGCCGGUGGGCUUAGCUCGCGAGGGCGGCGGCCCAACUCAAUCCUGCCGCGGUGCUCUUCAUUGAGUGUCGAGGUGGGCCGGCACGUUUACUUUGAACAAAUUAGAGUGCUUAAAGCAGGCUAAAACUUCGCCUGAAUACUGUGUGCAUGGAAUAAUGGAAUAGGACCUCGGUUCUAUUUUGUUGGUUUUCGGAACCCCCGAGGUAAUGAUUAAUAGGAACGGAUGGGGGCAUUCGUAUUGCGACGUUAGAGGUGAAAUUCUUGGAUCGUCGC
Molecule: ribosomal RNA, 978 nt
Filed under: Trigonopterus sp. 540 AR-2022a
Lineage: Eukaryota; Metazoa; Arthropoda; Insecta; Coleoptera; Curculionidae
Description: SSU rRNA
Rfam family: Eukaryotic small subunit ribosomal RNA
Source: RNAcentral